AGUGAACGCUGGCGGUAGGCCUAACACAUGCAAGUCGAACGGCAGCACAGUAAGAGCUUGCUCUUACUGUUGGCGAGUGGCGGACGGGUGAGGAAUACAUCGGCAUCUACUUUUUCGUGGGGGAUUACGUAGGGACACUUACGCUAAUACCUCAUACUACCUACGGCUUAAAUCAGGGGAUCUUCGGACCUUUCGCGAUUCAAUUAGCCGAUGUCGGAUUAGCUAGUUGGCUGGGUAAAGGCCCACCAAGGCGACGAUCCGUAGCUGGUCUGAGAGGAUGAUCAGCCACACUGGAACUGAGACACGGCCCAGACUCCUACGGGAGGCAGCAGUGGGGAAUAUUGGACAAUGGGCGCAAGCCUGAUCCAGCCAUACCGCGUGGGUGAAGAAGGCCUUCGGGUUGUAAAGCCCUUUUGUUGGGAAAGAAAAGCAGCAGGUUAAUACCCCGCUGUUCUGACGGUACCCAAAGAAUAAGCACCGGCUAACUUCGUG
RNAcentral lists this ribosomal RNA (492 nucleotides) under uncultured bacterium. Its description in RNAcentral is "partial 16S ribosomal RNA". It matches the Rfam family "Bacterial small subunit ribosomal RNA", at positions 29 to 507 of the family's 1533-position model. The record is from RNAcentral.